CAGUCGCCGCGGUAAUACGAAGGGUGCAAGCGUUACUCGGAAUUACUGGGCGUAAAGCGUGCGUAGGUGGUGGUUUAAGUCCGUUGUGAAAGCCCUGGGCUCAACCUGGGAAUUGCAGUGGAUACUGGGUCACUAGAGUGUGGUAGAGGAUAGUGGAAUUUCCGGUGUAGCAGUGAAAUGCGUAGAGAUCGGGAGGAACAUCAGUGGCGAAGGCGGCCAUCUGGGACAACACUGACGCUGAGGCACGAAAGCGUGGGGAGCAAACAGGAUUAGAUACCCCUGUAGUCCCUGUCUCUUAUAC
Molecule: ribosomal RNA, 301 nt
Filed under: uncultured bacterium
Lineage: Bacteria
Description: partial 16S ribosomal RNA
Rfam family: Bacterial small subunit ribosomal RNA
Source: RNAcentral